RNAcentral lists this ribosomal RNA (292 nucleotides) under uncultured bacterium. Its description in RNAcentral is "partial 16S ribosomal RNA". It matches the Rfam family "Bacterial small subunit ribosomal RNA", at positions 505 to 796 of the family's 1533-position model. The record is from RNAcentral.
GUGUCAGCCGCCGCGGUAAUACGUAGGGGGCAAGCGUUGUCCGGAAUUAUUGGGCGUAAAGGGCUCGUAGGCGGUUUGUCGCGUCGGGAGUGAAAACACGGGGCUUAACCCCGUUCCUGCUUCCGAUACGGGCAGACUAGAGGUAUGCAGGGGAGAACGGAAUUCCUGGUGUAGCGGUGAAAUGCGCAGAUAUCAGGAGGAACACCGUUGGCGAAGGUGGUUCUCUGGGCAUGUCCUGACGCUGAGGAGCGAAAGUGUGGGGAGCGAACAGGAUUAGAUACCCUGGUAGUCC